Molecule: transfer RNA, 114 nt
Filed under: Neurospora tetrasperma FGSC 2509
Lineage: Eukaryota; Fungi; Ascomycota; Sordariomycetes; Sordariales; Sordariaceae
Rfam family: tRNA
About the family: Transfer RNA (tRNA) molecules are approximately 80 nucleotides in length. Their secondary structure includes four short double-helical elements and three loops (D, anti-codon, and T loops). Further hydrogen bonds mediate the characteristic L-shaped molecular structure. tRNAs have two regions of fundamental functional importance: the anti-codon, which is responsible for specific mRNA codon recognition, and the 3' end, to which the tRNAs corresponding amino acid is attached (by aminoacyl-tRNA synthetases). tRNAs cope with the degeneracy of the genetic code in two manners: having more than one tRNA (with a specific anti-codon) for a particular amino acid; and 'wobble' base-pairing, i.e. permitting non-standard base-pairing at the 3rd anti-codon position.
Source: Rfam by way of RNAcentral
GGCUGGAUGGCCGAGCGGUCUAAGGCGCUAGACUCAAGAACAAAGUUCUUCUGCACUUAAGUGCGGUGUAUUCUAGUAUCGAAAGAUGCGUGGGUUCGAAUCCCACUCCAGUCA